AUAUUUUACCAUGAAGGACAGAAAAAUGAAUUCAACUGUGAAACGGUCGGUAUUCUUCAUACUUAAGCUAAACUUUUCAACAUCUCUUGAGCGAAAAAAUGUCUUGUCUAUUAUGAUAGAUUUCGCGUUAUUUUAUAAUGCCUCUUUUAUAACACCUCUUAGUUAAAAAGAAAAAGACUGUUCUGAAUGACUCUGUAGAGACCGUAUGGUCUCGUACCGAUGGCAGGUCUUUCAAAUUUCUGCCCUACGGACUUUUUGAGAGUUCUCGUGAUUGUAAUAGGUAAUCAAGGUUCGAUUCCGGAGCGAAACCCUGAGAAACGGCUUCCACAACCAAGGACGACAUCUGGAGCGUAAGUUAUACCCAUUUCUAGCUCGGAGAGGAAAU
RNAcentral lists this non-coding RNA (385 nucleotides) under Glossina morsitans morsitans. RNAcentral's name for it is "eukaryotic small subunit ribosomal RNA". It matches the Rfam family "Eukaryotic small subunit ribosomal RNA", at positions 124 to 466 of the family's 1831-position model. The record is from RNAcentral. Lineage: Eukaryota; Metazoa; Arthropoda; Insecta; Diptera; Glossinidae.